AUGUCGCAAGCCUCUGCUCCAGCGCUCGUGUCCCUCUCCAACGUCCAGAUCGCCGAGAAGCUCACCCGGGACAACUUCCUACCAUGGAAGGCCCAGGUGCUGCCGCCGGUGAGGGGUGCCCUGCUCAUGGGCUACCUCGACGGGUCACAAGCAGCGCCACCAAAGGAGAUCGAAGAGGCGAGGGCGGACAAGACUGUCGUUCAGGUGCAGAAUCCGGCGUAUGUCGCCUGGAUGGCUCAGGACCAAAACGUCCUGGGCUUUCUUCUCGGUUCUCUCUCCCGAGAGGUACUUCUCCAGGUAAUGGAUAACACCACCGCAAGCAGCUUGUGGGCGGCGCUCCUGGCCAUGUUUGCCUCGCAGAGCCGCGCCAAGGUGAUGCAGCUGCGGACGUAG
Molecule: ribosomal RNA, 393 nt
Filed under: Triticum aestivum (bread wheat)
Lineage: Eukaryota; Viridiplantae; Streptophyta; Magnoliopsida; Poales; Poaceae
Description: partial small subunit ribosomal RNA
Source: RNAcentral